This 182-nucleotide non-coding RNA is filed under the name Clostridioides sp. Its description in RNAcentral is "6S RNA". It matches the Rfam family "6S / SsrS RNA". From Rfam's summary of the family: E. coli 6S RNA was the first non coding RNA to be sequenced, but its function was unknown until recently. It consists of 184 nucleotides that fold into an extended hairpin structure with a large single-stranded internal bulge. Lineage: Bacteria; Bacillati; Bacillota; Clostridia; Peptostreptococcales; Peptostreptococcaceae. The record is from RNAcentral.
GAAUUCCUGAAGCAUACGACAAGGCUUUUUUAAAUUCAACCUACAUUAUUAAUACGGGAGAACGAGUCUAGUGACAAUUAUAACAGGCCUUUAUUUGGAAGUUAAAAAAUCACUGGCAGUUCACCCACCUAGGAGACUCUAGGGCCUGAAUUUAAGAGGGUCACCGGUGUUUCGGGAUGAAA